AAAAAGGUAAAUAAGGGCACUAAUAGUGGAUGCCUUGACAAUCAAUACCGAUGAAGGACGUAGAACUCUGCGAUAAGUCUUGGGGAGCUGAGAGCAAGCUUUGAUCCAGGAAUCUCCGAAUGGGGCAACCUAAUACGAGUCAUGUCGUAUUGCAAUUACUUGAACACAUAGAGUAAUUAGACGGGAACCAGCCGAACUGAAUCAUCUUAGUAGGUUGAGGAAAAGAGAAUAAACAAUGAUUCCGAAAGUAGUGGCGAGCGAAAUUGGAACAGCCCAAACCUUAACAUAACCAUACGGUUUAACGGCCAGAGUUAUGAAAGGGGUUGAGAAAUUAGAUAAUUUUUAUGUAUAGCAGUUGAAUAAAAUCGAAGCCUACUCACUUUUAAGGACUAUCAGCUUGGGCAAACGCCCUUGAGUGCGUCCGAAAAAGUGAGUAGGCGAUGAUUCGACAGUUAUACAUAAAAACCAACAUCGUUAAAUGAGUGGAUAAUGAUAAAAUCCUUUAGAUCAUAGCAGAAGUGUUUGAAUGGCACACCAAAGAAGGUGAGAGUCCUGUACGCGAAAUGGUCUUAGGCAUUAUAUAUCUUUUUUCAAGUAGGACGGGGCACGAGAAACCCUGUUUGAAUCCGGCAGGACCACCUGCCAAGGCUAAAUAUAUUGAUUGAUCGAUAGCGAACUAGUACAGUGAUGGAAAGGUGAAAAGAACCCCGGGAGGGGAGUGAAAUAGAACCUGAAACUUAGUGCCUACAAGGUGUCGGAGCAGCUUCGGCUGUGACGGCGUGCUUUUUGUAGAACGAUCCAGCGAGUUAAUGUUGUCGGCGAGGCUAAGUCAAAUGAUGGAGCCACAGUGAAAGCGAGCCUUAACAGGGCGAACAGUCGGCAGUAUUAGACCCGAAACCGGGUGACCUAACCAUGUGCAGGUUGAAGCUGCGGUAACACGCAGUGGAGGACCGAACCAGGGCACGCAGUAAAGUGCUUGGAUGACAUGUGGUUAGCGGUGAAAUGCCAAUCGAACUCGGAGAUAGCUGGUUCUCCUCGAAAUAGCUUUAGGGCUAGCGUUGUGUUAGUAAUCAUCAGGGGUAGAGCUCUGAAAAGGUUCGGGGCCGGCAACGGUACCCACCCUUAUCAAACUACGAAUACUGGUGGUGUAACCACAGCAGUCAGAACGGCGGGGCUAAGCUCGUCGCUCAAAAGGGAAACAGCCCAGAUCAUCGUCUAAGGUCCCUAAUUAACACUAAGUGGGAAACAAAGUGAAAUUUCUUAAACAGCUAGGAUGUUGGCUUAGAAGCAGCCAUUCAUUUAAAGAGUGCGUAACAGCUCACUAGUCAAGAGAUUUUGCGUGGAAAAUGUAACGGGGCUAAAGUGUUAAACCGAAGACAUGGACUUCUGCUUAUGCAGGAGUGGUAGAGGAGCGUUGAUAUCGCAGUGAAGUCAGAUUGUAAAGUCUGGUGGAGCGUUAUCAAGUGAGAAUGCUGGAAUCAGUAACCUUAAGACAGGUGAGAAUCCUGUCGGUCGUAAGAGCAAGGUUUCCAGGGCCACAGUAAUUGUCCCUGGGUUAGUCGGUCCUAAGCCGAGGCGUAUCAGCGUAGGCGAUGGACAACAGGUUAAUAUUCCUGUACAGGUAGUAGUUGUGAACAGUUCACGGUGAAUGACCGGAGCGGAUUAAUGGUUUAUCCGUCCAAGUCUCUAGGGAACUAGAGAUGAGUGAAAGGUAAUCUUCGGAUUAUUAAUUCCGGGUGAAGCACUGGCUAGAAAAGCUGGUUCACUUAUGCUGCUGCCUACCGUACCGCAAACCAACACCGGUGCUCGGGUCGAGUAGACCAAGACCUACGUGAGAACCUUCGCUAAGGAACUCGGCAAAAAAGCGUCCGUAACUUCGGAAUAAGGACUGCCCUCUCAUUAAGAUGAGGAUUUGCUAGAAACUCAGCAGAAGAUUCAGAGUUAUGUUACUUAUUUACUAAUAAUUUAUUUUACUUCGAGACCAUAAGCUCGGCCGAACGGCCCUGAGUGUGUCGAGAAGAAAAUAAAUUUUAGUUAUUAAAUUAAAUAUUUACCUUAAUACUGAAUUUUUUCGUUGAGACAGAACACAAAUCAGGAUUUGUUUUAGCAAAUUCGUGUCUUUUCUAGUAGUCUAAUCGUCAUUUUGAUGAGAGGGCCGCAGCUAAAGAGCCCACGGAACUGUUUACCAAAAACAUAGGUCUCUGCUAACGCGAAAGCGGAUGUAUAGGGGCUGACUCCUGCCCGGUGUCGGAAGGUUAAGGGGAGAGCUUUACGGUUCGAACUGAAGCCCCGAUGAACGGCGGCGAUAACUAUGAUCGUCCUAAGGUAGCGAAAUUCCUUGUCUGGUAAGUUCAGACCCGCACGAAUGGAGUAAUCAUGUGGGCACUGUCUCGGCGAAGGCCACGGUGAACGUGCAUUGGCGGUAAAGAUGCCGUCUGAUCAUGCCAGGACGAGAAGACCCCAUGGAGCUUUACUACAACUUUGCAUUGAUUAUUGGGACAUUUUGUGUAGAAUAGGUGGAAGACUUUGAAGCAGAUACGCUAGUAUUUGUGGAGUCGAAAUGUGAAAUACCACCCUGAAUGUUUUAGUAAUCUCACUUUUGACCUGAUCGGCCAAAAGGACCGUGCAUGGCGGGUAGUUUAACUGGGGCGGUUGCCUCCUAAAGAGUAGCGGAGGCGUUCAAAGGUUGGCUAACUACGGAUGGAAAUCGUAGUGAUAGUGUAUGCGCAAAAGCCAGCUUGACUGUGAGGGCCACAACCCAAUCAGACACGAAAGUGGGAGCAAAUGACCCGCUGUACAGAACUUCGGUUCAAUUUACGUGGGAAAGACAGCGCACACGGAUAAAAGUUACCCUGGGGAUAACAGGCUGAUCGCGCCCAAUAGUUCACAUAGACGGCGCGGUUUGGCACCUCGAUGUCGGCUCAUCACAUCCUGGAGGGGGAGCACCUUCCAAGGGUCCGGCUGUUCGCCGGUUAAAGUGGUACGCGAGCUGGGUUCAGAACGUCGUGAGACAGUUCGGUUUAUAUCCGGCAUGAUCGUUAGGAAUUUUGAGGAGAUCUACCCUUAGUACGAGAGGACCGGGGCGGACGAAUCUCUAGUGUAUCGGUUGUGACCACCUGUUGCAUCGCCGAGUAGCUAUGUUCGGAAGAGAUAAGCGCUGAAAGCAUAUUAAGCGCGAAGCCCACUCCAAGAUUAGAAUUCCCUAUGAGAUCCCAGAGAGAAGAUCUGGUUGAUAGGCGCAAGAUGGAAGUACCGCAAGGUAUGGAGUCGAAGCGUACUAAUAGAUCCAUCGCCUUUUUAU
RNAcentral lists this ribosomal RNA (3301 nucleotides) under TM7 phylum sp. oral taxon 351. RNAcentral describes it as "23S ribosomal RNA". It matches the Rfam family "Bacterial large subunit ribosomal RNA". The record is from RNAcentral. Lineage: Bacteria; Candidatus Saccharimonadota.